GUACGUAGACAAUACUCUCCCCUCGUUGCUAUGCAUCACAUGAUCUUGCAUGUGCGUAGGAAAUUUUUUGAAAUUACUACGAAACCCAACACCAUCUCCCAACGACCUCCACCUCCAGCCAUCCCUAGCAUAGUCCACCUUCUCUUCUCUACCUUCCUAGCCAGGUCGGCGCAACUAAUGGUGCUGGUGUCAAGGACCUGCACCUUUCUCAUGCCUGUGCUAAAAUUUCAAAUCUCUAUUAAUAGUCCCACCCUGCUCUUUUACAUGAAAUCUUACAAACUUAUAUACGUUCAUGCGUUGCAAGAUCAACAAGCCAACAAAGAGAGGAUGAGAGGUGCCUGUCGCAUGUAUUAUGCGUCACCAAUCGAAAUGAACAAAAAGAGGAGAGGCGCAUAAUGGAAAGAAAGGUCUCAGUUAAAUUGCCAUUUGAGCUAAUAAUCCUAAAGAAGGAGAGAGAGCCUUGGAUGUCUAUGGUACAGUCAUGUGGGAGCUUUCACCGGAGGCAACUUCGACACUCCCACAUCCGCGCCUACCGGCAGACGAGCAACACCACCCUGCCUACCGCGCCUCCGCCACAGCCCCCGCGCGCUGGCAUGGCAUAUGGUCGGCCGCCAGAUCUGGCGAGCAACCGAGCCACUGCACACCGGCUCCGUUGCCUGCAGCCACAAUCGGGGUGAGCUACACCACCACGGCACGGGGACUCCGCCCUUGUCCCGGUGCACCGACGAGCACGCUGUCACCGCCCCAGCUGUUGCAGCAAACACGUCGGCGCUGCCAGCCAGGAAGUGGCUGCCUAGCCACCGUGGGCGAGAAGAGGAGAGCAGCGCUUGGCUGGUGUUAGUGGAUGGAGAAGAGAAGGACGAGCUACUUUGGGCGAUGAAGUAGCAUGAGGAGGAAGAUGGGGGUGGAGCGGAUGGAUAAGAUAAACGGCGCUGUGUGGAGGCGAUGAAGUAGCAUGAGGAGGAAGAUGGGGGCGAAGCGGAUGGAUAAGAGAAACGGCGCUGUGUGGAUAGAAACGAGGCACACAGUGGGCCGUCGGUGGGGAUUUCUGGGUGUGCAUGUUGCUUUUUUAAAAAAAAUCAAAACUGUACGAACUGGAACUCUGGAAGGUGCUAGAUGCGGCAUCCAGGCGGCUGGAACGGGACCAGAAUGUGAUGUGCAUGCGCGUGCCUUCCUGCUGGGAUUGAUGUACUACUACUAAGUACUAACCAGACCAAGAUGAGUAGUAAGUACUGGGGUAUUUAUGUUGUUCAGAGUUAUUCGUGGGUGUAUAUCAAUCAAGGGAUUCGUGUUGUUCAGUUUGACUGUGCUUUAGUUUUGUUGUAGGAUUGAAAAAAAUUGUACAAUUUUGGUUGUUUUUUUAUACUUUUGCUUUUUUCAUCCACAAAUUUGAAUUUUGAAUUGUCCUUUUCAUCCGAGAUUUUCCGAAAAAAGUUUAAAAUUCCAAAAUUCGCCCAUUUCAUUCAAGGGCAGUAAAAUUUGCAAAACGAAACAUAAAACCUUGGCUGGAUGCUAUGCAUGCUUGCACCGAUUAUAAUUCUUUUUUUUAGAUGAGCACAAAUUAUAAUUACUUGUUGUUGCUUGUUGUUACUGUUAUAAUUUAAUAUUCAUGCUUGCCAGAUCUUAGGAUUAUCAGAUAGACUAACUAAAAGUGAGUGAUUAUUGGAAAGAAAUAAUUCUUAAGGUAGAAGAUAUUGGGGCUCACUAUUACUUGUUGAUCAUCAAAAUAUUCCUCAAGUCUGAAUGUCAUCAAUGUCGUUGGUGAGAUAGGCAAGAGAGAGGAGGGAUGAAUAGUAGAGAUAGUGUGACAACGGUGCAUCUUGCUCGCGUCUUAUUUCGACCCACACACCAACUAGGAGGUAGGAGCUCUUGCCUUUAGGACGUGAAAACUGAAAAGGACACGAACACUAUCCAUAGCUGGAUAAGGGUUAGGCGAUGUUGUACUAAUAUAUAUACAACACAGGU
RNAcentral lists this ribosomal RNA (1965 nucleotides) under Triticum aestivum (bread wheat). Its description in RNAcentral is "partial small subunit ribosomal RNA". The record is from RNAcentral. Lineage: Eukaryota; Viridiplantae; Streptophyta; Magnoliopsida; Poales; Poaceae.